AGUUGCUGAAGCCUUGAAGAGGUGCCUUCAAUGUGGGAGAGCCAGAUGAAGGUGGAGAUCAGCAAGAGAGUAAAAGCUGCCGAUGGGAACUGAGUCAGCCAAGGAAAGCUGGAACUCACAUCACAGCUGCCCUAUUUACUUACCUACCGGCUGCAUUUCUUAGAACCAGUUUUGUUCCUGUUCAAAAGGAAACCAGGCAAAGUUGGGAAAAUAUUUCCUCAGCCAGCUCCUCAGCAACGCUGUCUGAGGGAUUCCAUCUGGCCAAGAUGCUCUUCAAGCAACUAUAGUAUGGUAAUUAAGUACAUCCGGGGCCAGAAUACCUGAGUUCAAAUCCAGGCUCUACAACUUAUGAGCUGAAGAACCUCAGCUUCAGGCUCUUCCAGGCUGCAAUGACCAGCACCGAGAUGGAGACACAGAGGCCAUGCAAAGGACUGGCGGAUGCUGACUCCAGCCCCAGGGCUGUCCCAGCUACAACCAUGACUUCUACCACCAGGCUGCAGAUGACCCAAGUCUGUCUCCAGCCUCCAUUUCUCAUGUGAAUUCCACACCUGUACACUCAACUGCCUACUGGACAUUUCCACUUAGAUCUCAAAUUUGAAACACCUCAAAAGUCAACUUGUCCAAAAGUGAAGUCCUAAUUUUCUGCAUAAACCUAAUCCUCCUUUGUAUUCUGCAUCUUGGUGUAUUGUGUUUGAUAGUGGUUUCCAGUCUCUGUGUGCCAGUGGAUGAGCUUCUGGGGCUUUCUGUGAGUUUCCUGAAAUAGCAUACAAGAUUUUGCAUGCAUACACAUAGGUAGUUUUUACAAAUCCUGACUGCAAAGCAAAAUGAUCACUGGUCUACAAAGUCAAGUCCAAAUGCCUUUG
Choloepus didactylus (southern two-toed sloth) is the source of this 863-nucleotide long non-coding RNA. RefSeq lists it as uncharacterized. The transcript has 6 exons. Lineage: Eukaryota; Metazoa; Chordata; Mammalia; Pilosa; Megalonychidae. The record is from RefSeq and is a predicted model, not a curated record.